Molecule: ribosomal RNA, 197 nt
Filed under: uncultured bacterium
Lineage: Bacteria
Description: partial 16S ribosomal RNA
Rfam family: Bacterial small subunit ribosomal RNA
Source: RNAcentral
ACGCUCGACACCUACGGGAGGCAGCAGUGGGGAAUAUUGCACAAUGGGGGAAACCCUGAUGCAGCGACGCCGCGUGGAGGAAGAAGGUCUUCGGAUUGUAAACUCCUGUUGUUGGGGAAAAANGGAUGGUACCCCAACAAGGAAGUGACGGCUAACUACGUGCCACAGCCGCGGUAAUCUGAGCGGGCUGGCAAGGC